ACCAGACUCCUACGGGAGGCAGCAGUGGGGGAUAUUGCACAAUGGGGGGAACCCUGAUGCAGCGACGCCGCGUGGGUGAAGAAGCGCCUCGGCGCGUAAAGCCCUGUCAGCAGGGAAGAAAAUGACGGUACCUGAAGAAGAAGCCCCGGCUAACUACGUGCCAGCAGCCGCGGUAAUACGUAGGGGGCAAGCGUUAUCCGGAUUUACUGGGUGUAAAGGGGGCGCAGACGGCGAUGCAAGCCAGGAGUGAAAGCCCGGGGCCCAACCCCGGGACUGCUCUUGGAACUGCGUGGCUGGAGUGCAGGAGGGGCAGGCGGAAUUCCUGGUGUAGCGGUGAAAUGCGUAGAUAUCAGGAGGAACACCGGUGGCGAAGGCGGCCUGCUGGACUGCAACUGACGUUGAGGCCCGAAAGCGUGGGGAGCAAACAGGAUUAGAUACCCGAGUAUG
Molecule: ribosomal RNA, 447 nt
Filed under: uncultured bacterium
Lineage: Bacteria
Description: partial 16S ribosomal RNA
Rfam family: Bacterial small subunit ribosomal RNA
Source: RNAcentral